This 3569-nucleotide long non-coding RNA is filed under the name Sus scrofa (pig). RNAcentral's name for it is "lncRNA (ENSSSCG00035078602.1)". Lineage: Eukaryota; Metazoa; Chordata; Mammalia; Artiodactyla; Suidae. The record is from RNAcentral.
CCCAGCUCUAGCAGACACGCAGUGAGCACCGCUGGGCGCUGUUCGCCCUCUUUCAAGGACUUGACCUCCACAAGCCCUUCGAGCAGCAUCUGGCCUUCUGGUCCCUGACCUGCGUCAGCCACUCCGAGGGCGGGUGCACACCCUCCCUGGGAGGUUAGUGCGCAGGCGCUGUGGGCACCGGGCGUGUCAGCUCUCCCUGCCGGUCAGGACAGGCGGGAAGGACCAGGCAUCGUUUCCAGACUCCUCUCCGGCCUCCGCUGCGCCCCGGUGAGUCUCACCCUCCGGAGGCGGCUCUGCCGGGAGACAGAGCGCGUGUGUCACGAGACCGCGCACCCCUCCAGGUGGCGGCUCCCGCGUCUGCAGAGGCCACAGCAGCAGCAGGACAAACCUGAGCCAGAGUCUAGAUUGCGGGGAAGCCUCCGCAGCACAAGGCCCUCCGCUCCACGAGAAGAGUUCUGACGGCGUGUCCCUCUCCCUGGCCGCUUCCUGAGAACAGGGUAGGGGACGAGGUGUCCCAGGCGAGGCCCAGCCUCCACCUGCCCUCCAGGGCAGGAGAGCAGGAGGAGGACUGGAAAAGCCCCCGGGUGGGCUCUGCUGUGAGUCUGGCUUGUUCGAGGGGAGGGCUUUGGCCCAAUCAAGAGACUGACAUUUUAAACCACGCUGAAUGGAAUUUUAGUAGUCAGUUCAUAGGGUCUGCCUGGAAUGUCAUUAAGGUACAGGCCAGGGGAGUUUUUCACAUCAAACUUGAAAUCGAUAAUAAAAACGGUAACGCCUGGGAGUUCCCGCCACGGCGCGCCGGGAUCUGCAGCGUUUUGAGAGUGCUGGGACGCAGGUUCGAUCCCUGGCCCGGCACAGUGCCUUAAGGAUCCGGCAUGACUGCAGCUGUGGUUAGGUUGCAACUGCAGUUCAGAUCUGAUCCCUGGCCCAGGUUCUUUUUAGGGCUGCAUCUGCAGCAUGUGGAAGUUCCCAGGCAAGGGGUCGAAUCGGAGCUGCAUCUGCUGGCCUACAUCGCAGCCACAGCAAUGCCAAAUCCGAGCUGCAUCUGCAACCUAUGCUGCCACUUGUGGCAACACCAGAUCCUUAACCCACUGAGUGAGGCCAGGGAUUGAACCUACAUUCUUUUGGAUACUAGCUGGAUUCUUAACCCGCUGAGCCACAACAAGAACACCUAGGUGUAAUUUCUUAUGAGAGUUUCCAAGAAUUGAGACUGUUGGGCAAAAGGACAUGAAGAUUUCUGGGGAGGCAGACAGAAAUUUUUUUUUUUUUGGUCUUUUUGCCAUUUUUCAGAAUUUUUUUUAAUGUUUUGGGCUAUUUUUCAAAUUUUUUUGGCCACGGUGUAUAAUGGCUUGAUGUAGGGUCUCAGUUCCCAGACCAGGAGUUGAACUCAGGCUGCAGUGGUGAAAGUGUCGAGCCCUAACCACUAGACCACCAGGGAACUCCCAAGGCAGACAGAUACUCCCCAAUCAGACAGGACAACUCCUUUGAAAAGCAAACUACAAAAUACGAACACUUGACCAAGAAGGAAGCUUCACUUCUAGAGCCUGUUUAGUCCACGAAGUGAACACCAGCCACCUCAUAGCCAAGCGCCCUGGGUUUUAUUCCUUCCUUCCUUCCUUCCUUCCUUCCUUCCUUCCUUCCUUCCUUUCUUUCCCCCUCAGCCGCACCCACAGUAUAUGGGAGUUCCCAGGCCAGGGAUCAAAUCCAAGCUGCGUCCAUGACCUACACCACUGCUGCAACAAUGCAGGACUCUUAACCCACUGUACCAGGCUCAGGAUGCAACCGGCAAUGCCACGGAGAGUAGCUGGACCCUUAACCCGUGGUGCCACAGUGGAAACUCCUCAGCCAGUUAUUUCUACACACCUUUCCUGCUCUGACUAGUCUUUUAUCAUUUGUGCUUCAGGGAAGCUGAGCAUUGCAUUUUGAGGUCUGGUCGUGAGGCAUUUCAAGUCCUUUGGUAGAUCAAGAUCUCCACCUGUGAGAAAGGAACGAUCCGCUUGCCCGUGCUGCUGCGUGCCAUUUGUUCCUGUGCCCUCUCAAUGGCAGAUCUGGCCUGUCCAACCACACUGGCAGUUGACACUGUGUCCUCUGGUGGUGUUGGAUCCCAGCCUCCUCCUCUCAGUUGGCCCUAAGCCAUCACAGGACUCAAGCCAGGUAUGAGCCAUUUCCUGUGAGAGAAUGUUUUAUUAUAUAACUACUCUGAAGAACCGUGCAACCCUUGGCACCAGACUGGCCUUUCGUAGUGAGCCCUUUGAGGACACGUCGUGAGGUCACCCACAGUCUCUACACAGUUCUGUAGGGUCGACCCAACCUCUGACCAAUCAGAACAACGCAGCACUCCUCAGACACAGAGAUGGCUUCAGGGAUAUGCACACAACCUGUUGGGCCACCAGCCGUCUUACCUGGAAUGUUACUGGAGCUACAUCAGAGAAGAGGUGCUUUCUGAUGGAGUUACAGAAUUCCUAGAAUGUAGCUGGGAGCUACUGGGGACCGUCGUUGACACCACCUAGGGAGAGACUGCCCAGUAACAAAGUCAGCUUGGAGGAAAGCAAAGUUCACAGAGAAAGUCCGACUUGUUACAACUUUGAUCCAGUCCUAAAGCCAGCAAUAUACCAGUGGAUUCCUUGGUUUAUAAACCAACAUUUCUUUUAUUGUAUAAGUUGGUAUGAGUUGGUUUUCUGUUGCUUGAAACUUAUACAGCUGGUAAGAAAGCCUGACUGGUAUUUCCUUCUGCUUUACCAGCUGGCUAAACCUCCAGGGAGGAAAUACACCAAAGAAAAGCAAGUUGAGGAGUUCCCACUGUGGCUCAGUGGUAACAAACUCGACUAGUAUCCAGGGACGUUUGAUGCGGCGUUGCCAUGAGCUAUUGUGUAGGUUGCAGACUUGGCUUGAAUCCUGUCGGUGCUGUGGCUGUGGUGUAGGCUGACAGCUGUAGCUCCGAUUAGACCCCUAUCCUGGGAUCUUCCAUAUGACUCGGGUGUGGCCCUAAAAAGGAAAAAAAAAAAGUAAGAAAGAAACACAACCAAUUUCUGUAUGUUAAUCUUGUAUUCUGCUGCUUUGCUGAAUUUGUUUAUCAAUUCUAGCAGUUUUUGUGUGGAGUCUUUCAGGCUUUCUAUAUGUAGUGUCAUAACAUUUGCAUGUAAUGAUCAUUUUACCUCCUCCCUACCAAUGUGAAUAUGUUUUAUUUCUUUCUCUUGUCUGAUUGCUGUGGCUGGGACUUCCAAUACUAGGUCGAAGAGAGGUAGUGACAACGGGCAUCCUUGUCUUACUCCAGACUUUCACGGGAAGGCUUUCUGUUUUCACCACUGAGUAUUAUAUUGGCUGUGGGUGUGUCAUGAAUAGCUUCUAUGAUGUUGAGAUAUGUUGCCUCUCUACCCACUUGCGUAAUGGUUUUUAUCACGAAUGGAUGUUGAGUUUUAUCAGAUGCUUUUUCUGCACCUAUUGAGAUAAUCAUGUGGGUUUUGCCUUUUCUUUUGUGAUGUGGCGAAUCGCAUUGAUUGGCUUGAGUAUGUUGAACCAUCCUUGUGACCCUGAGAUGAACCCCACUUUGUCGUGGUGUAUGAUCUUUUUUA